AUUGAACGCUGGCGGCGUGCUUAACACAUGCAAGUCGAACGGUAACAGGCCCUUCGGGUGCUGACGAGUGGCGGACGGGUGAGUAAUGCGUAGGAAUCUGCCUUACAGUGGGGGAGUAACCUAGGGAAACUUAGGCUAAUACCGCAUAAGCUCUACGGAGGAAAGCGGGGGAGUCGUAAGACCUCGCGCUGUUAGAUGAGCCUACGUCCGAUUAGCUAGUUGGUAGGGUAAAGGCCUACCAAGGCGACGAUCGGUAGCUGGUCUGAGAGGACGAUCAGCCACACUGGGACUGAGACACGGCCCAGACUCCUACGGGA
RNAcentral lists this ribosomal RNA (317 nucleotides) under uncultured bacterium. RNAcentral's name for it is "bacterial SSU rRNA". It matches the Rfam family "Bacterial small subunit ribosomal RNA", at positions 30 to 346 of the family's 1533-position model. The record is from RNAcentral.